Molecule: ribosomal RNA, 720 nt
Filed under: uncultured bacterium
Lineage: Bacteria
Description: partial 16S ribosomal RNA
Source: RNAcentral
CGGGACGUAUUCCCGCGCCAUGGCUGAUCCGCGAUUACUAGCGAAUCCAACUUCAUGGAGUCGGGUUGCAGACUCCAAUCCGAACUGGGACGAGCUUUCGAGAUCUGCAUCCUGUCGCCAGGUAGCUUCCCUCUGUACUCGCCAUUGUAACACGUGUGUCGCCCCGGACGUAAGGGCCGUGCUGAUUUGACGUCAUCCCCCCCUUCCUCACACCUUGCGGUGGCAGUCCCGCUAGAGUCCCCAGCUUAACCUGAUGGCAACUAACGGCAAGGGUUGCGCUCGUUAUGGCACUUAAGCCGACACUUCACAGCACGAGCUGACGACAACCAUGCAGCACCUCGACAGAUGUCCGAAGACUUGAAUAUCUCUACUCAAUUCAUCUGCCGUUCGAGCCCGGGUAAGGUUCCUCGCGUAUCAUCGAAUUAAACCACAUGUUCCUCCGCUUGUGCGGGCCCCCGUCAAUUCCUUUGAGUUUCAACCUUGCGGUCGUACUCCCCAGGUGGAUGACUUAUCGCUUUCGCUUGGCCACCGACUGUGUAUCGCCGACGGUUAGUCAUCAUCGUUUACAGCGUGGACUACCAGGGUAUCUAAUCCUGUUUGAUCCCCACGCUUUCGUGCCUCAGCGUCAAUAGCGGAUUCGUGAGAUGCCUUCGCAAUCGGUGUUCUGUGUGAUAUCUAUGCAUUUCACCGCUACACCACACAUUCCUCCCACGGCAUCCG